Molecule: ribosomal RNA, 258 nt
Filed under: Triticum aestivum (bread wheat)
Lineage: Eukaryota; Viridiplantae; Streptophyta; Magnoliopsida; Poales; Poaceae
Description: partial small subunit ribosomal RNA
Source: RNAcentral
AUGGAACUGGCCCUUAAAAUUACAACCAAGAUUACAGUUGGUAUGAGUUACUUGCUGAGAGUCAGAAAUUACAACCAAGAUUUUGUAACACGACUUUUAAACCAAGAGAUUUUUCAUCUUAGAUGCUACCGACAUGAGCUGGUAAUGUCGUGCUACCAUGGAGAAAACAUAGCUAGGGCGCUCCCCGGCCUGGAGCUCUGCUACUCCAUGACGCGGAGGUUCCUCGACAAGCAGACGGCGGUGGUCGGGCAGGUGUAG